UUGAAGUGAAGGGGAUUGGAUGUGUGAGUCAGCAAAGGAGACCAUGUGCGUAAGUAACCAUCUAAAGACGUUCUUCAUGUGAUAAAAACUCAGAACCAAAAGUUCAAACGUAAAAUCCCUCCACUGACCUCAUUCCUCCUCCACCGCAUCGGAGGUCGCCUCCGGCGGCAGCGGAGCCUCGAUGCCAAAAACAACUACAUCAUAUGCUUCAAUUCAUCAACCUGGAUCUGAAUAUCAUAAUGAAAUAAAAUAAUUCCUCAUGAAUAGCUUGAAUCGAAACAGAGAGUUGAAGAAACCUAAAUCUGAGAAACAAAAUUAAAUCCUCACAUCUCGGAAUCAAAGCCCUGGAGCUUAGGGCUUUGAUCCCCUAACCUCCUCCUACACUUCGGUAACUUGUAUGCAAUGAAAUGAUGAAGAUGAGGAAGUAACUCACUAGAGAAGCGCCAGAAUCAUGCUUGCUGAUUGUGUAAGCGUUAUCUUGACCUGCUGAUGUGAAUUAUUGCAUGGUGCUUAUGCCAUGUGUAUUUGGUGGUUUGAUUGUGGUUGCCUUGACCUGCUAUGAUGUGGAUGCUAGGUUUGUUUUUGUUUGUUGUGGUUAGGUUUGUUUUAGGCUUUGGUCAUGCUUACUAGGUUUAAGAAAUAGUUGCGGGCUUACGGUUACGAUUAGCAAGGUUUGUAAUGGUAAUGGUAGGUCUGUUUUAGGUUUUGGUCAUGCUUACUUGGAUUGUGGCAGGUUGGAUGCUUGCUAAUGUACUUUGCAAUGCUUGUAAUAGGCUAGGAUUUAAAUGGUAUUGUGUUUCAUGCUAAUGUGUUGUAAUGGUAAUGAUGCAAGUUGGUUUGAAAUUUUUAUGGUAUAACGAUUUGGUUUUUAAA
This is a long non-coding RNA of Lathyrus oleraceus (garden pea), 873 nucleotides long. RefSeq lists it as uncharacterized. The transcript is spliced from 2 exons. Lineage: Eukaryota; Viridiplantae; Streptophyta; Magnoliopsida; Fabales; Fabaceae. The record is from RefSeq and is a predicted model, not a curated record.